GACGAACGCUGACGGUGUGCUUUAGACAUGCAAGUCGAACGAGAAAGCCCUUCGGGGUGAGUACAGUGGCGAGCGGGUGAGUAACACGUGGGCAACCUGCCCCUCGCAGGGGGACGAACCGGAGGAAACUCCGGCUAAUACCCCGUAAGCUUGUUGGGUCGCAUGACCCUUCAAGGAAAGGUAGCUUCGGCCAUCCGGCGAGGGAUGGGCCCGCGGUACAUUAGCUAGUUGGUGGGGUAACGGCCCACCAAGGCGACGAUGUAUAGCUGGUCUGAGAGGAUGAUCAGCCACACUGGGACUGAGACA
Molecule: ribosomal RNA, 306 nt
Filed under: uncultured bacterium
Lineage: Bacteria
Description: bacterial SSU rRNA
Rfam family: Bacterial small subunit ribosomal RNA
Source: RNAcentral